Molecule: long non-coding RNA, 406 nt
Organism: Scatophagus argus
Lineage: Eukaryota; Metazoa; Chordata; Actinopteri; Scatophagidae
Exons: 3
Source: RefSeq, a predicted model, not a curated record
CUUGUGUCAUGGUCACAUGUGUUCUGUCAAGCUCCAAGAGAAAAUCAGUUCCUAACACAGACCCACGAUACGAUGGAGGGACUAUGUCUCUCACCUGGUCUGGGAACGCCUCGGUGUCUCUCCAGAUGAACUGGUGGAAGUAGCCGGGAGAAAAUGGUCUGCUUUUCCCUGAUGAGUCUGUUGCCCCCGAGACCUGGACCCGGAUAAGCGGUACAAACAAGACGAGAUGACGGAAUGGGGGGCUCAUUGUGGAUCCUUCUCUAAGCUGGCGAUGGAGACGUUCCCUUCAGGGGUCGCCACAGCGAAUCAUCUGCUUCCAUCUCCAUUAUCUUCCUUCACACCAUCUACCUUCAUGUCCUCCUUCACUACAUCCACAAACCUCCUCUUUGGUUUUCCUCUAUACUUC